Oryctolagus cuniculus (rabbit) is the source of this 2392-nucleotide non-coding RNA. NCBI's taxonomy places the organism in Eukaryota, Metazoa, Chordata, Mammalia, Lagomorpha, Leporidae. The record is from RefSeq and is a predicted model, not a curated record.
GUGUACAGUGUGUCAGACCACACAUGAGCUAGGAGUGCACACAGUGUGUCAGACCACACGUGAGCUAGGAGUACACAGCGUGUCAGACCACACGUGAGCUAGAAGUACACAGUGUGUCAGACCACACGUGAGCUAGCAGUGCACACAGUGUGUCAGACCACACGUGAGCUAGGAGUGCACACAUGUCAGACCACACGUGAGCUAGAAGUGCACACAGCGUGUCAGAGCACAUGUGAGCUAGGAGUGCACACAGCGUGUCAGACCACACAUGAGCUAGGAGUGCACACAGCGUGUCAGACCACACGUGAGCUAGAAGUGUACACUGUCAGACCACACGUGAGCUAGGAGUGCACACAGUGUGUCAGACCACACGUGAGCUAGGAGUGCACACAUGUCAGACCACACGUGAGCUAGAAGUGCACACAGCGUGUCAGAGCACAUGUGAGCUAGGAGUGCACACAGCGUGUCAGACCACAUGUGAGCUAGGAGUGUACACAGUGUGUCAGACCACAUGUGAGCUAGGAGUACACAGCGUGUCAGACCACACGUGAGCUAGGAGUGCACACAGUGUGUCAGAGCACACGUGAGCUAGGAGUGCACACUGCGUGUCAGACCACACGUGAGGUAGGAGUGUGUACAGUGUGUCAGACCACACGUGAGCUAGAAGUACACAGCGUGCAGACCACACAUGAGCCUGAGGUGUGCACAGCGUGUCACACCACACAUGAACAAGGGCAUUGCAGCUAUAGCAUGGCAUAAUAUGGCGUGAGACAUGGCAGCUAGGGCACGGCACAGUGUGGUGAGAGACACGGCAGCUCUGGCAUGGCACAGUGUGGUGAGAGACACAGCAGCUCUGGCAUGGCACAGUGUGGUGAGCGAGGCCAGUGAUGGCCCCUGGCGUCCAGCUGGAUCACUGUUAUGGGGGGGUACAGGAAGAGUCAGCAUGCACACUCGCAGUGGGCAGUCCCGGCUCACGGGGGGAGCAUCCUCCUGCCACGGGAACUGCAGCUCCAGGGCCCCCGUGCCAGGCCCUGGUGUCCUGUGCCCAUGGGUGGGCCACCUCGUCUCGCGGAUGAGGCAGGAGGAGAAGGCGUGCGCCUCGGCUGCACGUUCUGGGCAGCAGCUGAAGUCUCAGGUAGUGUGUGCAGUCCAGAGCGCUUGAUGGACGCCUUGGAAGCCUCGCUCUGGGACAAGGCACUCACGUCUGGGUGAAGACCACGGCCCGGCGGUUCCCGGGCUGUGACUGCAGGGCUGCCCUCCGGCACCAGACUGCCGUGCUCACCGUGGCCCCUGGCCGAGGUGAGCGGCGUGGCUCCUGCCUGGCCACAAGACUUAGCAUGGGCUUCUGGAGUGGACCGAGUUCAAGAAAGGAGCGGGACUGAGAGCCUGUGUCCUUGGGGUGAGAUGUCGGGGAAGCGCUCAGAGAAGCAGAGAGGAGAGAACCGCGCCCACCCUGCCUGGUGCUGCCCAGUCACAGCGAGGAAGCCCCUGGCCGCCAGCCAUGUCUCCUCCCUGCCACACGCAGCCGUGCUGUGCCGUGCUGCCCUCUUCCCCCGUCCCGUUCCCCAGAAGUCCCCAGCAAGCGCUGUGGCCCGGCGCCCGGGUGGAUGUAGUUGGUCGUGGCCACCUGAGCCCUCGGUACCUGGCCGGCCCGUGGGGACCUUGCCCUGUGUGUGUCCCCGGAAGCCACUUUGAACUGAUUUUUCAUAGACAAGAGUGUGCGCCCUUCCCUGGUGAGGGCGUCUGGCGCAGCCAGCAGUGCCGGGAUCGCUCUCGUCCCGGGACAACAAGUCACAACGCCCUGGCCGCUGUUCCUGGGCCUCCCCCUGCCCGCAGGGGCCGCCUCAGUGGUGGGCACCUGUGGACUGGCCCUGCAGUUUCUCCACACCGCUCGCCGGGGCUGCUUGUUAACUUUCGUCAUUCGGGACGGUGAUCUCUGUCAGCAGCAUGAGCACACAGCCUCGGGGGUGUCCCCGCCCUCUGUGCCCGUGACGUCCAGCGGGGGUCACGGAAGCCCCUGCUUGGCAAGCGUGUUGGCCGUGUGUGUGUGUGUGUGUGAGUGUGUGUGCAGCCUUCUCGGGGGGCAGUCAGAGCACCUACCACCCCAUGUGUCAGCUCCACAUAAGCGCCCCCUGGUGGCUGCCUGGAGCUGGCGUCCUGGGGCCGUCCACAGUUGCACUGACUUGCUGACCUCCCACUCUCCACUUCUGUCAGAAUCUGGGGAAGCUGGUUUGGUUUGGUUUGGUUUGGUUUGGUUUGGUUUGGUUUGGUUUGGUUCUGUUCUGUUCUGUUCUGUUCUGUUUUGUUUUGUUUUAAUUGUCAGAUAUUACCACCUCAGAGUAUUGGUCUGUCUUAUAAAAUAUGGUCUUGCAAUUACAUAUUUUUGAUUUUU